RNAcentral lists this ribosomal RNA (455 nucleotides) under uncultured bacterium. Its description in RNAcentral is "bacterial SSU rRNA". It matches the Rfam family "Bacterial small subunit ribosomal RNA", at positions 340 to 786 of the family's 1533-position model. The record is from RNAcentral.
UACGGAAGGCAGCAGUGGGGAAUAUUGCACAAUGGGCGAAAGCCUGAUGCAGCUAUGCCGCGUGUAUGAAGAAGGCCUUAGGGUUGUAAAGUACUUUCAUCGGGGAGGAAAAACAAAACUAAUAAUUUUAUUUCUUGACGUUACCCGAAAAAGAAGCACCGGCUAACUCCGUGCCAGCAGCCGCGGUAAUACGGAGGGUGCUAGCGUUAAUCAGAAUUACUGGGCGUAAAGAGCACGUAGGUGGUUUUUUUAAGUCAGAUGUGAAAUCCCCGGGCUUAACCUAGGAACUGCAUUUUGAAACUGAAAUACUAGAGUAUCGUAGAGGGAGGUAGAAUUCUAGGUGUAGCGGUGAAAUGCGUAGAUAUCUGGAGGAAUACCUGUGGCGAAAGCGGCCUCCUAAACGAAUACUGACACUGAGGUGCGAAAGCGUGGGGAGCAAACAGGGAUUAGAUACC